CUCAUUUUCUUUAUUUAUAAACAGUAAGUCAUAUAUAUUUGUAAUAUUGAAGAAUUGUUAGCUGUACAUGUUUGCCUGGCAUGGUUCAAUAUGUUCAAUAAGGCAUUGUUUACCAGGUGAGCGAUUCAGGCUCUUGAGAGCCUCUUGUUCAUAACAAAAAUUGUAUGAAUUUCAUAGAUUUUUACCUGGUCUUUCAAAAAAUUCAUGCUUCAGGGUACGUUCGCCUGCUCCGAAAAGAGCUACAG
Molecule: long non-coding RNA, 245 nt
Filed under: Mytilus galloprovincialis (Mediterranean mussel)
Lineage: Eukaryota; Metazoa; Mollusca; Bivalvia; Mytilida; Mytilidae
Source: RNAcentral